CUGUUCCAUCCAGUUUGUUCUAGAAACAUCAAAACAGGUUCUGUGGUUUAUCAUUACAUACAAGAAGGACAGUACAGGACUGGUGCCAAGAAGGGACACCCCAGGCCACCUCACUGGUGAAUGUGCCCCCUGGCAGAGGGAGCAAGCUUGAGCGAGGGACUGUGGGACCCUUCAGACUUUCCAGUUUCUGUUGUAAUUCGUUGUGCUCUACACACAAGAACAGUGGGAUAUGAGAACAGGAGGCUCUGCAAGCCAAAACAGCUGCUCUAGGAAGGAAAACUGACUGAGGGUGAUGGCAGAGACUUUGGGGCUGUCAGGAAGUAGGUUUGAUCCUCGCUGCUGCAGGAAUACUGAAGGAGGCAAAGAGGACAGCGGUCAGCCUUCCC
Molecule: long non-coding RNA, 386 nt
Organism: Fukomys damarensis (Damara mole-rat)
Lineage: Eukaryota; Metazoa; Chordata; Mammalia; Rodentia; Bathyergidae
Exons: 4
Source: RefSeq, a predicted model, not a curated record